Molecule: ribosomal RNA, 421 nt
Filed under: uncultured bacterium
Lineage: Bacteria
Description: partial 16S ribosomal RNA
Rfam family: Bacterial small subunit ribosomal RNA
Source: RNAcentral
AAUAUUGGACAAUGGGGGCAACCCUGAUCCAGCCAUGCCGCUCGGGUGAAAAAUGUCCUCGUUUUUUAUAGCACUUUAAGUUGGGAGGAAGGGCUUUAGGUUAAUACCCUGACGUUUCGACGUUACCAACAGAAUAAGCACCGGCUAACUUUGUGCCUGCAGCCGCGGUAAUACAGAGGGUGCAAGCGUUAAUCGGAAUUACUGGGCGUAAAGCGCGCGUAGGUGGUUCAGUAAGAUGGGUGUGAAAUCCCCGGGCUUAACCUGGGAACUGCUUUCAUAACUGCUGAGCUAGAGUACGGUAGAGGGUAGUGGAAUUUCCUGUGUAGCGGUGAAAUGCGUAGAUAUAGGAAGGAACACCAGUGGCGAAGGCGACUACCUGGACUGAUACUGACACUGAGGUGCGAAAGCGUGGGGAGCAAAC